RNAcentral lists this ribosomal RNA (516 nucleotides) under uncultured bacterium. RNAcentral describes it as "bacterial SSU rRNA". It matches the Rfam family "Bacterial small subunit ribosomal RNA", at positions 28 to 534 of the family's 1533-position model. The record is from RNAcentral.
GAUGAACGCUAGCGGGAGGCUUAACACAUGCAAGUCGAGGGGCAGCAUAGGGUAGCAAUACUCUGAUGGCGACCGGCAAACGGGUGAGUAACGCGUAUGCAACCUACCCUGUACAGGGGGAUAACCCGGAGAAAUUCGGACUAAUAUCCCGUAAUAAUAUCCGGAGGCAUCUUUGGAUAUUUAAAGUUUCGACGGUACGGGAUGGGCAUGCGUAACAUUAGCUGGUUGGUAAGGUAACGGCUUACCAAGGCUAUGAUGUUUAGGGGUCCUGAGAGGGUGGUCCCCCACACUGGGUACUGAGACACGGACCAGACUCCUACGGGAGGCAGCAGUGAGGAAUAUUGGUCAAUGGGCGCAAGCCUGAACCAGCCAUCCCGCGUGCAGGAAGACGGCCCUAUGGGUUGUAAACUGCUUUUCCAGGGAGAGAAACUUACGCACGUGUUGCGUGACUGACGGUACCCUGGGAAUAAGCAUCGGCUAACUCCGUGCCAGCAGCCGCGGUAAACUCGUACUCUA